GCACACAGGUGCUGCAUGGCUGUCGUCAGCUCGUGUCGUGAGAUGUUGGGUUAAGUCCCGCAACGAGCGCAACCCUUGCCAUUAGUUGCUACGAAAGGGCACUCUAAUGGGACUGCCGGUGACAAACCGGAGGAAGGUGGGGGAUGACGUCAAGUCCUCAUGGCCCUUAUAGGUGGGGCUACACACGUCAUACAAUGGCCGGUACAGAGGGUAGCCAACCCGCGAGGGGGAGCCAAUCCCACAAAGCCGGUCGUAGUCCGGAUCGCAGUCUGCAACUCGACUGCGUGAAGUCGGAAUCGCUAGUAAUCGUGGAUCAGCAUGUCACGGUGAAUACGUUCCCGGGUCUU
Molecule: ribosomal RNA, 347 nt
Filed under: uncultured Allobrachymonas sp.
Lineage: Bacteria; Pseudomonadati; Pseudomonadota; Betaproteobacteria; Burkholderiales; Comamonadaceae
Description: bacterial SSU rRNA
Rfam family: Bacterial small subunit ribosomal RNA
Source: RNAcentral